UUGGUCAUUUAGAGGAAGUAAAAGUCGUAACAAGGUUUCCGUAGGUAACCUGCGGAAGGAUCAUUAAAGAAUGCCCCGUUUUUUGAAAUGGGUUCAUUCCCAAACCGUGUAUACAUACCUUUGUUGCUUUGGCAGGCCGCCUUCGGCGUCGGCUCACGCUGACCGCGCCUGCCAGAGGACCCAAACUCGUUUGUUCGUGAUGUCUGAGUACUAUAUAAUAGUUAAAACUUUCAACAACGGAUUCUUGGUUCUGGCAUCGAUGAAGAACGCAGCGAAAUGCGAUAAGUAAUGGAAUUGCAGAAUUCAGUGAAUCAUCGAAUCUUUGAACGCACAUUGCGCCCUUGGUAUUCCGAGGGGCAUGCCUGUUCGAGCGUCAUUAUGACCACUCAGCCUAGCUUGGUAUUGGGGUUCGCGGUCUCGCGGCCCUUAAAAUCAGUGCGGUGCCAUCUGGCUCUAAGCGUAGUAAUUUAUCUCGCUAUUGGGUCCGUGGUUGCUUGCCAACAACCCCCAACUUCUAAGGUUGACCUCGGAUCAGGAGGGAUACCCGCUGAACUUAAGCAUAUCAAUAAGCGGAGGAAAAGGGCC
This 585-nucleotide ribosomal RNA is filed under the name uncultured fungus. Its description in RNAcentral is "eukaryotic LSU rRNA". The stretch from base 226 to 376 matches the Rfam family "5.8S ribosomal RNA". Lineage: Eukaryota; Fungi. The record is from RNAcentral.